RNAcentral lists this ribosomal RNA (569 nucleotides) under Chaetomium megalocarpum. Its description in RNAcentral is "eukaryotic LSU rRNA". It matches the Rfam family "Eukaryotic large subunit ribosomal RNA", at positions 69 to 668 of the family's 3401-position model. Lineage: Eukaryota; Fungi; Ascomycota; Sordariomycetes; Sordariales; Chaetomiaceae. The record is from RNAcentral.
CCGUGCAUGCUAGUACGGCGAGUGAGCGGCACAGCUCAAAUUUGAAAUCUGGCUUCGGCCCGAGUUGUAAUUUGCAGAGGAAGCUUUAGGCGCGGCACCUUCUGAGUCCCCUGGAACGGGGCGCCAUAGAGGGUGAGAGCCCCGUAUAGUUGGAUGCCUAGCCUGUGUAAAGCUCCUUCGACGAGUCGAGUAGUUUGGGAAUGCUGCUCAAAAUGGGAGGUAAAUUUCUUCUAAAGCUAAAUACCGGCCAGAGACCGAUAGCGCACAAGUAGAGUGAUCGAAAGAUGAAAAGCACUUUGAAAAGAGGGUUAAAUAGCACGUGAAAUUGUUGAAAGGGAAGCGCUUGUGACCAGACUUGCGCCGGGCAGAUCAUCCGGUGUUCUCACCGGUGCACUCUGCCCGGCUCAGGCCAGCAUCGGUUCUCGCGGGGGGAUAAAGGCAUCGGGAACGUGGCUCCUCCGGGAGUGUUAUAGCCCGUUGCGUAAUGCCCUCGCGGGGACCGAGGUUCGCGCAUCUGCAAGGAUGCUGGCGUAAUGGUCAUCAGCGACCCGUCUUGACCCACCGGACCA